GACGAACGCUGGCGGCGUGCUUAACACAUGCAAGUCGAACGGAAAGGCCCUGCUUUUGUGGGGUGCUCGAGUGGCGAACGGGUGAGUAACACGUGAGUAACCUGCCCUUGACUUUGGGAUAACCUCAGGAAACUGGGGCUAAUACCGGAUAGGAGCUCCUGCUGCAUGGUGGGGGUUGGAAAGUUUCGGCGGUUGGGGAUGGACUCGCGGCUUAUCAGCUUGUUGGUGGGGUAGUGGCUUACCAAGGCUUUGACGGGUAGCCGGCCUGAGAGGGUGACCGGCCACAUUGGGACUGAGAUACGGCCCAGACUCCUACGGGAGGCAGCAGUGGGGAAUAUUGCACAAUGGGCGGAAGCCUGAUGCAGCAACGCCGCGUGCGGGAUGACGGCCUUCGGGUUGUAAACCGCUUUCGCCUGUGACGAAGCGUGAGUGACGGUAAUGGGUAAAGAAGCACCGGCUAACUACGUGCCAGCAGCCGCGGUGAUACGUAGGGUGCGAGCGUUGUCCGGAUUUAUUGGGCGUAAAGGGCUCGUAGGUGGUUGAUCGCGUCGGAAGUGUAAUCUUGGGGCUUAACCCUGAGCGUGCUUUCGAUACGGGUUGACUUGAGGAAGGUAGGGGAGAAUGGAAUUCCUGGUGGAGCGGUGGAAUGCGCAGAUAUCAGGAGGAACACCAGUGGCGAAGGCGGUUCUCUGGGCCUUUCCUGACGCUGAGGAGCGAAAGCGUGGGGAGCGAACAGGCUUAGAUACCCUGGUAGUCCACGCUGUAAACGGUGGGUACUAGGUGUGGGGUCCAUUCCACGGGUUCCGUGCCGUAGCUAACGCUUUAAGUACCCCGCCUGGGGAGUACGGCCGCAAGGCUAAAACUCAAAGGAAUUGACGGGGCCCCGCACAAGCGGCGGAGCAUGCGGAUUAAUUCGAUGCAACGCGUAGAACCUUACCUGGGUUUGACAUGGAUCGGGAGUGCUCAGAGAUGGGUGUGCCUCUUUUGGGGUCGGUUCACAGGUGGUGCAUGCCUGUCGUCAGCUCGUGUCGUGAGAUGUUGGGUUAAGUCCCGCAACGAGCGCAACCCUUGUUCACUGUUGCCAGCACGUUAUGGUGGGGACUCAGUGGAGACCGCCGGGGUCAACUCGGAGGAAGGUGGGGAUGACGUCAAGUCAUCAUGCCCCUUAUGUCCAGGGCUUCACGCAUGCUACAAUGGCUGGUACAGAGAGUGGCGAGCCUGUGAGGGUGAGCGAAUCUCGGAAAGCCGGUCUCAGUUCGGAUUGGGGUCUGCAACUCGACCUCAUGAAGUCGGAGUCGCUAGUAAUCGCAGAUCAGCAACGCUGCGGUGAAUACGUUCCCGGGGCU
Molecule: ribosomal RNA, 1346 nt
Filed under: uncultured bacterium
Lineage: Bacteria
Description: partial 16S ribosomal RNA
Rfam family: Bacterial small subunit ribosomal RNA
Source: RNAcentral